GGCUCGGUAGCUUAGUUGGUAAAGCACUCGUCUAGCAUACAAGAGUCGUGGGUUCGAAUACUUCCUGGGCAC
This 72-nucleotide transfer RNA is filed under the name Aedes aegypti (yellow fever mosquito). It matches the Rfam family "tRNA". From Rfam's summary of the family: Transfer RNA (tRNA) molecules are approximately 80 nucleotides in length. Their secondary structure includes four short double-helical elements and three loops (D, anti-codon, and T loops). Lineage: Eukaryota; Metazoa; Arthropoda; Insecta; Diptera; Culicidae. The record is from Rfam by way of RNAcentral.